UGCACUCGUAGCUCAGCUGGAUAGAGCAACCGCCUCCUAAGCGGUAGGUCAUCGGUUCAAAUCCGAUUGAGUGCAU
Molecule: transfer RNA, 76 nt
Filed under: Ligilactobacillus salivarius
Lineage: Bacteria; Bacillati; Bacillota; Bacilli; Lactobacillales; Lactobacillaceae
Description: Lactobacillus salivarius tRNA-Arg
Rfam family: tRNA
About the family: Transfer RNA (tRNA) molecules are approximately 80 nucleotides in length. Their secondary structure includes four short double-helical elements and three loops (D, anti-codon, and T loops).
Source: RNAcentral